This 467-nucleotide ribosomal RNA is filed under the name uncultured bacterium. Its description in RNAcentral is "partial 16S ribosomal RNA". It matches the Rfam family "Bacterial small subunit ribosomal RNA", at positions 28 to 507 of the family's 1533-position model. The record is from RNAcentral.
GACGAACGCUGGCGGCGUGCUUAACACAUGCAAGUCGAACGGAAAGGCCUCUUUCGGGGGGUACUCGAGUGGCGAACGGGUGAGUAACACGUGAGUAACCUGCCCUUGACUUUGGGAUAACUUCAGGAAACUGGGGCUAAUACCGGAUAGGAGCUCCUGCUGCAUGGUGGGGGUUGGAAAGUUUCGGCGGUUGGGGAUGGACUCGCGGCUUAUCAGCUUGUUGGUGGGGUAGUGGCUUACCAAGGCGUUGACGGGUAGCCGGCCUGAGAGGGUGACCGGCCACAUUGGGACUGAGAUACGGCCCAGACUCCUACGGGAGGCAGCAGUGGGGAAUAUUGCACAAUGGGUGGAAGCCUGAUGCAGCAACGCCGUGUGCGGGAUGACGGCCUUCGGGUUGGAAACCGCUUUCGCUCAUGACGAAGCUUUGUGUGACGGUAGUGGGUAAAGAAGCACCGGCUAACUACGUG